GAUGAACGCUGGCGGCGUGCCUAAUACAUGCAAGUCGAGCGAACAGACGAGGAGCUUGCUCCUCUGACGUUAGCGGCGGACGGGUGAGUAACACGUGGAUAACCUACCUAUAAGACUGGGAUAACUUCGGGAAACCGGAGCUAAUACCGGAUAAUAUAUUGAACCGCAUGGUUCAAUAGUUAAAGACGGUUUUGCUGUCACUUAUAGAUGGAUCCGCGCCGCAUUAGCUAGUUGGUAAGGUAACGGCUUACCAAGGCAACGAUGCGUAGCCGAUCUGAGAGGAUGAUCGGCCACACUGGAACUGAGACACGGUCCAGACUCCUACGGGAGGCAGCAGUAGGGAAUCUUCCGCAAUGGGCGAAAGCCUGACGGAGCAACGCCGCGUGAGUGAUGAAGGUCUUCGGAUCGUAAAACUCUGUUAUUAGGGAAGAAAAAAUGUGUAAGUAACUAUGCACGUCUUGACGGUACCUAAUCAGAAAGCCACGGCUAACUACGUG
RNAcentral lists this ribosomal RNA (497 nucleotides) under uncultured bacterium. RNAcentral describes it as "partial 16S ribosomal RNA". It matches the Rfam family "Bacterial small subunit ribosomal RNA", at positions 28 to 507 of the family's 1533-position model. The record is from RNAcentral.